GAUGAACGCUGGCAGCGUGCUUAAUACAUGCAAGUAGAACGCUAAAGGGGGAGCUUGCUCUUAUGGAUGAGUAGCGAGCGAAUGAGUAACGCGUAGGUAACCUGCCUGGUAGCGAGGGAUAACUUUAUGAAACGAUAGCUAAUACCACAUGACAACAGGUAUUGCAUGAUAACUGUUUAAAAGGGGCAACUUUUCGACUACCAAACUAACUUGCGUUGUAUUAGCUCGUGGGGGCGGUAACGGCUAACCAAGGCGAGGAUACAUAGCCGCCCUGGGAGGGUGAUCGGCCACACUGGGACGGGGGCACGGCCCAGAGGGAUACGGGAGGCAGCAGUAAGGACUCUUGGGGAAUAGACGGAAGUAUGACCGAGCAACGACGCGUGAGCGAAGAAGGUAUUCGGAUCGUAAAGCUCUGUUUUAAGGGAAGAACGAGUGUGAGAGGGGAAAGUUCACAAUGUGACGGUAUCUUACCAGAAAGUGACGGCUAACUACGUG
Molecule: ribosomal RNA, 495 nt
Filed under: uncultured bacterium
Lineage: Bacteria
Description: partial 16S ribosomal RNA
Rfam family: Bacterial small subunit ribosomal RNA
Source: RNAcentral